CAGGGGUUAUGUUAUGUGCGUCUAUUGGUUCUGUUAUGGAUUCCACCUGGUGUAAUGAUUCCAAUAAUAUUUGGACAAAGGAGUAUCAGCAAUCAACGACUUAACCCCUUGUACGAGAAGUUGUGUUGAAUUUUCCCCAUUGCUCGGUGCAGCGUACCACCUGCUGAUUUCAUGAUCGAUUGUGACCUCUUUAAUCGCAGUCCUAACUCUUUCACUAUUUCUGUGCAAGCUCACUAAUGCUCCGGAAUCCAAGAGACCCACGAACUCCAGGUCUUCUAUAGUGACAUGUGCGAAUGGUCUAUUGUCGUCUUCCACAGCCUCUCCGAUGGCAGAACAUAUCAUCCUUCUUUUUGUCUUCCGCUGCUGACUACUUCUACAGGCUCUGCUAUCUGUAUCAUUAUACAUGCAAUCUAACGAGGCUUUCAUUUGUUCUUGGCAAACGGAUUGGAGCGUAGUUCCUCGUUAUUGCCCAAGUUCCUCCCACCGUUUUCCGAUUGGCAUCGUGCACACCUUGGAGUCCUCACACCAGCUAGUCCACACUUAGGCAGAAUACCAUUAAUAGCUCAGACUCACACGCUUUGAAUAGGUGUCCCGAAGUUCCACAAUUCCAGCAUGUCUUCGCAGGAUCUCUGGAGCUCCGUGGCUUAUGAGAACCAGAGACAUCGAACGGGAUCUCAAUGUGCCCAAACUUGGAGACAAGCUGCAGGAACUCUGUUGGAAAUAUAUGGAAAGGCUAAAUGAGCACCCCAACAGCCUAGCCAGAAAACUUGGUACCGCUGCUAUAAACAGCGCUGAACCAAGCAACCGAGUCAAAAGAAGACUAAAAAGACAUUACCUUCAAGACCUAACGGACCGGGUUUUGACCUAGCAACAUCACCACCCUCAAUAUUAAUAUCAAAAAAAAUAAAUAUAACGAAAUUAUUUCUUGCCUUAAGCAACCCUUAGACUAAGUAUUGUACUAUUUUUGUAAAAACUGAUUAGAUAAAGCUGCCAGUCGGGUAGCAGUGUGCUAAUCCUAAGAAUAAAAUUUCCACA
Non-coding RNA from Drosophila suzukii, 1035 nucleotides. The record is from RefSeq and is a predicted model, not a curated record. Lineage: Eukaryota; Metazoa; Arthropoda; Insecta; Diptera; Drosophilidae.